Molecule: ribosomal RNA, 497 nt
Filed under: uncultured bacterium
Lineage: Bacteria
Description: partial 16S ribosomal RNA
Rfam family: Bacterial small subunit ribosomal RNA
Source: RNAcentral
GAUGAACGCUGGCGGCGUGCCUAAUACAUGCAAGUCGAGCGAACAGACGAGGAGCUUGCUCCUCUGACGUUAGCGGCGGACGGGUGAGUAACACGUGGAUAACCUACCUAUAAGACUGGGAUAACUUCGGGAAACCGGAUCUAAUACCGGAUAAUAUAUUGAACCGCAUGGUUCAAUAGUGAAAUACGGUUUUGCUGUCACUUAUAGAUGGAUCCGCGCCGCAUUAGCUAGUUGGUAAGGUAACGGCUUACCAAGGCGACCAUGCGUAGCCGACCUGAGAGGGUGAGCGGCCACCCUGGAACUGAGACACGGUCCAGCCUCCUACGGGAGGAAGCAGUAGGGAAUCUUACGCAAAGGGCGAAAGCCUGACGGAGCAACGCCGCGUGAGUGAUGAAGGUCUUCGGAUCGUAAAACUCUGUUAUUAGGGAAGAACAAAUGUGUAAGUAAAUAUGCACGUCUUGACGGUACCUAAUCAGAAAGCCACGGCUAACUACGUG